RNAcentral lists this ribosomal RNA (440 nucleotides) under uncultured Cloacibacillus sp. Its description in RNAcentral is "bacterial SSU rRNA". It matches the Rfam family "Bacterial small subunit ribosomal RNA", at positions 338 to 795 of the family's 1533-position model. The record is from RNAcentral. Lineage: Bacteria; Thermotogati; Synergistota; Synergistia; Synergistales; Synergistaceae.
CCUACGGGGGGCUGCAGUGGGGAAUUUUGGGCAAUGGGGGGAACCCUGACCCAGCGACGCCGCGUGAGUGAAGAAAUUCCUCGGAAUGUAAAGCUCUGUUGUAUGGGAAGAUAAUGACGGUACCAUACGAGGAAGCCCCGGCAAACUACGUGCCAGCAGCCGCGGUAAUACGUAGGGGGCAAGCGUUGUCCGGAAUUACUGGGCGUAAAGCGCACGCAGGCGGAAUUGUAAGUCCGUUGUAAAAUUCAGAGGCUCAACCUCUGUCUGUCGGCGGAUACUGCAAAUCUAGAGUAUGUGAGAGGGAAGUGGAAUUCCUGGUGUAGCGGUGAAAUGCGUAGAUAUCAGGAGGAACUCCGGUGGCGAAGGCGACUUCCUGGCACAAGACUGACGCUCAUGUGCGAAAGCUAGGGUAGCGAACGGGCUUAGAUACCCGAGUAGUC